CAGUAGCCGCGGUAAUACGGAGGGUGCAAGCGUUAAUCGGAAUUACUGGGCGUAAAGCGCACGCAGGCGGUCUGUCAAGUCAGAUGUGAAAUCCCCGGGCUUAACCUGGGAACUGCAUUUGAAACUGGCAGGCUAGAGUCUUGUAGAGGGGGGUAGAAUUCCAGGUGUAGCGGUGAAAUGCGUAGAUAUGCGGAGGAACACCGAUGGCGAAGGCAAUCACCUGGGCCUGUACUGACGCUCAUGCACGAAAGCGUGGGGAGCAAACAGGAUUAGAUACCCGGGUAGUCCCUGUCUCUUAUAC
Molecule: ribosomal RNA, 301 nt
Filed under: uncultured bacterium
Lineage: Bacteria
Description: partial 16S ribosomal RNA
Rfam family: Bacterial small subunit ribosomal RNA
Source: RNAcentral